This 532-nucleotide ribosomal RNA is filed under the name uncultured Tulasnella. Its description in RNAcentral is "LSU rRNA". It matches the Rfam family "Eukaryotic large subunit ribosomal RNA", at positions 1 to 475 of the family's 3401-position model. The record is from RNAcentral. Lineage: Eukaryota; Fungi; Basidiomycota; Agaricomycetes; Cantharellales; Tulasnellaceae.
UUGAGCCUGCGUCAUCAAGUCUGCCUAACCAGCGGUACUACAACGCAUGACCUCAUUGGGGUAGGACAACCCGCUAGACUUAAGCAUAUUAAUCAGCGGAGGAAAAGAAACUAACCAGGAUUCCCUCAGUAACUGCGAGUGAAGCGGGAUCGGCUCAAUGUGUGAAUCUGGCUUGGGGUACGUCCCGGGUCCGAGUUGUGCACUACGGAUGCUUCGUCUGCGUUUGUAAAGGCGGUGGAAGUCCGUUGAAACACGGCACCUCAGAGGGUCACAGUCCUGUACCACCUGCCUGCACUCGCGCCAAUGACAAGUGCUCCUCGAGUCGCGUAGUUUUGUAAUGCUGCGCCAAGUGGGAGGUAGAGACCUUCUAAGGCUAAAUAUGAUGACGUGACCGAUAGCACACAAGUACCGCGAGGGAAAGGUGAAAAGCAACCAUGAAAAUGGGUUGAAACAGUAGUGAAAGCGCUACCGGGAUAAGGGCUAUCGGGUGCUGGGGCUCUUUGGGUGUGCUUUAGUGCUACCCUCGGAGACG